GAAUAUUGGACAAUGGGCGAAAGCCUGAUCCAGCCAUGCCGCGUGUGUGAAGAAGGUCUUCGGAUUGUAAAGCACUCUAAGUUGGGAGGAAGGGCAGUAAGCGAAUACCUUGCUGUUUUGACGUUACCGACAGAAUAAGCCCCGGCUAACUCUGUGCCAGCAGCCGCGGUAAUGCAGAGGGUGCAAGCGUUAAUCGGAAUUACUGGGGGUAAAGGGCGCGUAGGGGGGUCGUUAAGUUGGGUGUGGAAUCCCCGGGCUCAACCUGGGAACUGCAUCCAAAACUGGCGAGCUAGAGUAGGGCAGAGGGUGGUGGAAUUUCCUGUGUAGCGGUGAGAUGCGUAGAUAUAGGAAGGAACACCAGUGGCGAAGGCGACCACCUGGGCUCAUACUGACACUGAGGUGCGAAAGCGUGGGGAGCAAACAG
This 424-nucleotide ribosomal RNA is filed under the name uncultured bacterium. RNAcentral describes it as "partial 16S ribosomal RNA". It matches the Rfam family "Bacterial small subunit ribosomal RNA", at positions 359 to 775 of the family's 1533-position model. The record is from RNAcentral.